UGAAAUCUCGGGGCUCAACCUCGAAACUGCGUCUGAAACUACAGGUCUAGAAUCUCGGAGGGGGAAGGGGAAUUUCGCAUGUAGGGGUAAAAUCCGUAGAUAUGCGAAGGAACACCAGGGGCGAAGGCGCCUUCCUGGACGAGUAUUGACGCUGAGGCGCGAAAGCGUGGGGAUCAAACAGGAUUAGAUACCCUGGUAGUCCACGCUGUAAACGAUGAACACUAGGUAUUGGGGGAUUUGACCCCUUCAGUGCCGCAGCUAACGCGUUAAG
This 271-nucleotide ribosomal RNA is filed under the name uncultured Bacteriovorax sp. RNAcentral's name for it is "partial 16S ribosomal RNA". It matches the Rfam family "Bacterial small subunit ribosomal RNA", at positions 595 to 864 of the family's 1533-position model. The record is from RNAcentral. Lineage: Bacteria; Pseudomonadati; Bdellovibrionota; Bacteriovoracia; Bacteriovoracales; Bacteriovoracaceae.